AUAGAUAAAUGUGAGGUUAUCCACUUUGGUGGCAAAAACAAGGGUGCAGAUUAUUAUCUCAAUGGGGUUAGGUUAGGUAAGGGGGAGGUACAGCGAGACCUGGGCGUCCUUGUGCACCAGUCACUGAAAGUUGGCGUGCAGGUACAGCAGGCAGUGAAGAAAGCUAAUGGAAUGUUGGCCUUCAUAACAAGAGGAUUUCAGUAUAGGAAUAAAGAGGUUCUUCUGCAGUUGUAUAGGGCUCUGGUGAGACCACAUCUGGAGUAUUGUGUACAGUUUUGGUCUCCUAAUUUGAGGAAGGACAUCCUUGUGAUUGAGGCAGUGCAGCGUAUGUUCACAAGAUUGAUCCCUGGGAUGGCGGGACUCUCAUAUGAGGAAAGAUUGAAAAGACUAGGCUUGUAUUCACUGAAGUUUAGAAGGAUGAGGAUGGAUCUUAUAGAAACAUAUUAAAUUAUCAAAGGACUGGUCAAGCCAGAUGCAGGAAAAAUGCUCCCAAUGUUGGGCGAGUCCAGAACCAGGGGCCACAGUCUUAGAAUAAAGGGGAGGCCAUUUAAGACUGAGGUGAGAAAAAACGUUUUCACACAGAGAGUUGUGAAUUUGUGGAAUUCCCUGCCACAGAGGGCAGUGGAGGCCAAAUCACUGGAUGGAUUUAAGAGAGAGUUAGAUAGAGCACUAGGGGCUAGUGGAAUCAAGAUAUAUGAGGAGAAGGCAGGCACGGGUUAUUGAUUGGCGAUGAUCACCCAUGAUCACAAUGAAUGGCGAUGCUGGCAAGAAGGGCCGAAUGGCCUUCUCCUGCAUCUAUUUUCUAUGUUUUAUUCUUGGUUAGCACAGACACGAUGGACUGAAUGGCUUCCUUCAAUGUUGUGAAUUGUUUUCAACACAUGAUUUAUUUUUACAGCACUCACCCUUAGCUAUGUGGUCAAUGCUACAUAUCAGGAAGAAAGCCGUAUGAAAUAGCUGCAAAGAUCACGAGGACUUUUUGGAUUACGCUAAGAUUUCCAGCAAUUCCCUGGACAUUGCCACUUACAGUAUCUUCGUAUUGAUGCUUGAAACGAGGUUGUAAAAUUUGCUCCGAAUGCCUUCUAACAACUUUCUCAGUAUUUAGGGCAGCACAGUGGAGCAGUUGGUAGAGCUGUUGCCUUCACAGCAACAGAGACCCCCAGUUCGAUCCUGACCUCGGGUGCUAGUGUAGAGAGUGGAUGAGAAUGUGGGGAAAAGGAACUAGUAUGCACAAGUGAUCGAUGGUCGUGGUGGGCCGAAGGGCCUGUUUCCAUGCUCUAGAUCUAAAACUAAGACUAAAUCUGCCUCCGGCACACUGAUUAUCUGUCUCCAUAGUCUGUUGUAAGUCAACGACUUUACAGGUCCUGCUUGCGGCAUUCAGCCCUGGGAUCAUUUGUCAGACCUGUGUUUAGUUGUGGCAGAAGGUUCACACAGACGUACAUGCACCUGACACUUAAACUGCACUUUAACAGGACAAUGCUUCCUAAUAUAAUCAGUGCAGUUGAAUUAUGGUUUCAAGCCACGUAUUUAUCCUUUCACUAUGACAAAGAGUAUGACACUAUGACAUUUGAAAUUCUUAAGGCCUCGUUUAAAGCCCACUCAGAAAUUUACAUAAAUAGAAAUUUGUCAGCACAGUUCUCGGGUGCAGUGUCAACAUUUAGUACCACUCAAAUUAUAAUUCCACACACUGUCAUUCACUCACAUUUCUUCCACUCAGCUGAGGGAUGAAGGCUGCACUGUUAGUCAACUCUAAGCCCACAAGCCAUAGAGCAGGUCCACAUUAAUGAAACAGUCAAGCCCUUGGCCUUCUCGUUUGUGCCAACCAUUCGAAGACUCCCUGGUCACGUUCAAAUAGUCGAUACCAGAUUCUCUCACCAGCCCGGAAAACAGCGAAGCCCUGUGACCAGUUCAGCAGUGAUGAAUGAGGCUUUGUGCAUCACUGAAGAAGAACCCUCUCGAGAUGUUGGAGUGGAAGAGGGCAUUGUACAAGGAGCUUCAAACCAAUGUUGGUUCAAUAAUGAAGGAACGCCUGCAUCUGCCGACGAAGCUUCACAAAUCCAGGGGAUUUUCAAGGCUGAACUCGUCUUUCUGACAGGCUCAUGUGGAAGCGAUGGUGAUUGCUUCUCUGGAGAAGAUGGAGCAGACCUCUCAGCAAGGACGUUGCCUCCGUUGUAUUUGCAUCAAAAUCCUUUAAUCGAUGACAAAGGCACUUCUGUUGGACCGAAUGUUAUUGGGGAUGAAUCGAAGGUUCUUUUGUUUCAAGAUACUGAGGAGAAGCUGGACGGGACUUUGCAGGGAUCUCUCUUUCAGGCAAGAGAAGUGUACUUUUACUCACUCAAGCUUAGUAAUUCUUUUGAAUAGAAUCUGAUGUCGGAUUGCUCCAUUGUAGAACUGGAAACUAUGGCAUAUAACCCGUGAAUCAAUAAGAAAACC
Molecule: RNA transcript, 2430 nt
Organism: Leucoraja erinaceus (little skate)
Lineage: Eukaryota; Metazoa; Chordata; Chondrichthyes; Rajiformes; Rajidae
Exons: 3
Source: RefSeq, a predicted model, not a curated record